RNAcentral lists this ribosomal RNA (119 nucleotides) under Coniosporium apollinis CBS 100218. Lineage: Eukaryota; Fungi; Ascomycota; Dothideomycetes. The record is from RNAcentral.
ACGUACGGCCAUAGGUCAAAUAGUACUGGGCAUCCCGUUCGCUGCCACCACAUAAGCUUUGAAUUGGUAGAUUAGUAGUUAGGUGGGUGACCACUAGCGAAUACCUACUGCUGUACGUU